Non-coding RNA from Xyrichtys novacula (pearly razorfish), 104 nucleotides. Lineage: Eukaryota; Metazoa; Chordata; Actinopteri; Labriformes; Labridae. The record is from the annotation of a GenBank genome assembly.
ACCUGGUUAUAACCUGAGACAUUACCUGGUUAUAACCUGGUUAUAACCUGAGACAGUACCUGGUUAUAACCUGGUUAUAACCUGGUUAUGACCUGAGACAUUAC